RNAcentral lists this ribosomal RNA (253 nucleotides) under uncultured bacterium. RNAcentral's name for it is "partial 16S ribosomal RNA". It matches the Rfam family "Bacterial small subunit ribosomal RNA", at positions 524 to 776 of the family's 1533-position model. The record is from RNAcentral.
UACAGAGGUGGCAAGCGUUGUUCGGAAUUACUGGGCGUAAAGGGCGCGUAGGCGGCCUUCUAAGUCAGACGUGAAAUCCCCCGGCUUAACCUGGGAACUGCGUCUGAUACUGGAGGGCUUGAGUGCGGGAGAGGGAUGUGGAAUUCCAGGUGUAGCGGUGAAAUGCGUAGAUAUCUGGAGGAAUACCGGUGGCGAAGGCGGCAUCCUGGACCGGCAUUGACGCUGAGGAGCGAAAGCUAGGAGAGCAAACGGG